GACGAGCGCUGGCGGCGUGCCUAAUACAUGCAAGUAGGACGCAGUUGCGAACGGGUGAGUAACGCGUAGGUAACUACCUAUUAGAGGGGGCUAACUAUGGGAAACGAUAACUAAUAACGCAUACUAGUAGAUGGACCUUCUUUGUAUUAGCUAGUAGGUAGGGUAAUGGCCUACCUAGUCAACGAUACAUAGCCGACCUGCGAUGGGGGUCGGCCACACUGGGACUGAGAGACGGCCCAGACUCCUACGGGAGGCAGCAGUAGGGAAUCUUCGGCAAUGGGGGGAAACCUGACCGAGCAACGCCGCGUGAGUGAAGAAGGUUUUCGGAUCGUAAAGCUCUGUUGUUAUGGAAGCGGUACUUAACCAGAAAGGGACGGCUAACUACGUGCCAGCAGCCGCGGUAAUAC
This 407-nucleotide ribosomal RNA is filed under the name uncultured bacterium. RNAcentral describes it as "partial 16S ribosomal RNA". It matches the Rfam family "Bacterial small subunit ribosomal RNA", at positions 28 to 526 of the family's 1533-position model. The record is from RNAcentral.